UCGGAUGGCGAUUCCAGUUUUAAAACCCAGGGGGCACGAGUCUCUCAAGGACGUUAUUAGUAGUAUCCAAACUGAUAUUGUAGUGUCUUGAGGACUUGAAGGCGAAGGAAAGCUACCAGGAGAUGAAGAGAUUCGAUUUCAGGUCUUUUGAGGAUUGAGUUUUUGGAUAACAACAAUUGGAGACGUAAUCAAGUGGAUUCUAGCAUGGAUAGCGGAGAUUGGAGAAGCGAACUUCUACCUCAUACUCGGCAGAGGAUUGUGAAAAAAAUAGUGGAGACUUUUAAGAGGAACCUUCCAAUUUCUGGCCCAGAAGGGUUAGAAGAAUCUAAGAGAAAUGCUGCAAGGUUUGAGGAGAAGAUUUAUACUGCUGCAGCAAGCCAGGCAGACUAUCUACGGAAGAUAUCUCUAAAGGUGAUGGCAAUGGAGGUUAGAAACCCUCAGACUCCCAGUGGUCCUGCUUCCUUACCAUCAAACCCUGCUUUUGGUAACCAAAAUCCACAAGAUUUAGUUGUUGUUAGAGAUUAAUGUAUGGAUUACAACAAUUUGAGAACUAAUCAAGAGGAUCUUAGCAUGGAUACCAGCGAUUGGAGAAGCCAACUUCAACCUGGUACUCGGCAGGAAAUUUUGAAUAGAAUUUGCCCCUUUGGCAUUUUGUUAAUUUAAUCAUAUAUUCAGUCAUUUCUACACUUCCGAGCAUCUGGUAAGACUGGAGACUUUGAGGGGGAACCUUCCAAUUUCUGGUCCAGAAGGGUUACAAGAAAUUUGGAAAAUCUGUCAGAUUUGAGGAGGAGAUUUAUACCGCUGCGGCAAGCCAGACAGACUAUCUACAGAAGAUAUCUCAAAAGAUGCUGCCAAUGGAGACAAAAUCUGACUCCUGGUGGUCCUGGUUCCUUACUGUCAAUCCCUGCUGUUGGUAACCAAAAUCUGCCAGAUCCAGGUAUGAUUUGGAGUAUAGUUGUCAAAGGGGUCCACUAGGCGCUGCCUUGGCAUCUAGGCUCUUUCUUGGGUCUAAGGCAACGACACGUCUUGUUGACACUUUACGAGUUUAUGCUGAUUUAUGUUUAUUGUUUUGUUUUUUGAUGAAUAUGCUUACAUUUUGCCCUAUGCUUUGUUUAUUAUUUUUUGGUUUUCUCAUAUUAGGUCAUUACUGGCAUAAAUAUCUCAUAUUGCAUUGAUAUGGAUUCUUUGUUGCAUAUAAGAAUAUUUAUAGAAAAUUAUCAUUGCUAUAUCACAAAUAAGAAAACCUUACGUGUCAUGACCAGGAUUGACCAGGCCGAGUGACCAGAUUUUUUAUAGGACGAGUCGAUUCGGAAAACCUGGUUUGCUAACAAUGGUUGGAUCUUCUUUCAGUUUUUUGCAGUUUCAUUUGGUGGGCAUGCUAUAUAUAAAUUGCUAACCAAACAUUGGCUCAACUCAAUAUUUUAGUAUUUAUUAUUAUUUUGUGAUGCUGGUUAUUGUUGCCAUAAGGAUUAUCUUUUGAUAAUCUCCUCUGUUUUAUUUGUCCACGUGUAGUCUACACGUGAGAGGGAGAUUGGAGUUAUCGUCUGAUAUUUGAAGAUUAUUAUUGUUAUCUACAAUUGUCAUCAGCUGAAGAUUUAUUAUUUCCUUGUUCGUGUUAUUUACUCGUGUCCUUAGCAACAAUUUUAUCUUAUAAAGAUGGUUACUUGUUUGCAGAAACAAGAUUAUUAUCAGUUGUUCGCAGCAACCUAUGCUACAUUUUAUAGUUGUUCUUAGCAACCUUCUGUUGUUACUUGUGGUUCCCAGCAACCUAUGCUGCAUUUUAUCAGCGGUUCGCUUCAACCUAUGCUGCUUUUUUACCAGUGGUUCGCAGCAAUCUAUGCUGCACUUUUAUCUAUUCUUCUUUGUGAAGAUUAUUACUUGCCUUCCUUGAGAAGGGCUUAUGACGUUGUUGUUGCUAUGACAUUUUGGAUUGUGGUUGGUAUUAUUUGUCGCUUAUUUUGUUUGUUGCUGUUUGGAUUUAUUCGACACAGAUUUUUCUCUACUAUUGGUGCUGAUGUUUGGUGUGCUUGAGCUGGUAUUGCUUCUAAAAUGAAGUUCUCUAUGUGCUCAUUUGCAUCUACGACAGGUUGACAGCUAUAUAUGUUUAAGACUGGAGCCUUUGAGAUAUAUAUAUAUAUAUAUAUAUAUACAUGCAUACUCCAACUUGGGGAGGAGUGUUAAAGUGUAUCGUGUGGUAUUGUGUACCAUGGAUAGUGAGAUAAUGUUGAGUUAUAGUUUACUUUUAGUUAUUUAUCUUUUUUGUAAUUAGACUUAGACUUGGUUAUUACUGUCUAUUGUACUUACCAAAAAUAGUGUUGUACCUGCUUACAAGAAACCUGAUCAUUAAUGUUCUUAGUUCAAAUAGGCCUAAGAAACCUGUUUCCUCACAAAUGCCAGGACAACAGCAACAGCUGGAGCAGCUGCAGCAACAGUUGGAGCAGCAGCAGCAGAGGUUGCUAGCCCGAGCCCUGGAGAAUAAUCUGUCAAACACGCAGCAGCAGUUAGGUUCACAAGGUAAUGUUUCUGAGCUACACCAGCAGCAUCAUUAUCAGCAUCGCUCAAUCUGGUAUUUCAAACAUCCAUCCGAAUCAGCACACAUUGCAUAUGUUACAUGCUAAGGUUGCAGUGCAGCAGCAACAAGCCCAGCAAACAUUAUCAACCUUGUUACCAACAUAAGGGCAACAAUCACAAUCACUUUUUUAGCAGCAGCAAAUGAUGUCUCAGCUCCAAUCGCAACCUGGUCAACUGCAACAACAGCUUCAUUACAACAAGAUUUGCGACAAAGGAUUCAAAGUUCAGGUGGCUUGGUUCAGCCUCAGAAUGUUGUUCAGCAAUUUUUGUUUCUUUAUUUAUUUAUCCCUCCAAAAGAACAAUGGACCCAGCUUCACAGAGCAGCUCUCUCUCCAUCCCACAACAUAAUGUUGAAUCUGGAUUGACUGUGUAGUCUUACUAUUUGAAUCAAAUCAUUUUUCUUGGGAACAUGGCUGUUACAUUUGCACUGGGAAUUCUCUUCCCUUGUAGAUGUAAAUUAUUUUUCUGUUCAUUGACAUGGAACUUCCACUGAAGUCUGUUUUAUUUCCAGGUGAAAACUUAUGUACAAGUACACAAGGAAAAGUUUCAGGUAAAUCUCAUGGUUCGACGGACUUUAUCUGAAACUUUUCCUUUUACUUGGUUUUAACCUGGAAAUGAAUGGGGUGUCAAAUGCAAGAGCAGGUCCUCCAAAACCAUAAGAUUGCCAUGAAAACACAGCACAAGAACUGAGAGCUUAUGUACAAGGAAAAGUUUCGGGUAAAUCUCAUGGUUCCAUGGACUUUACCUGAAAUUUUUCCUUUUACUUGGUUUUUACCUGGAAAUAAAUGGAGCCUGAAUGAGAGAAUCAAAAUGCAAGAAGCAGUUUUUCCAAAACCAUAAGAUUGCCUUGAAGUGGGGUAUGGCUGUGUACAUUAUGAUCUUCUACAGACCCCACAGUGGUAGAAUCCUCGUGCACUAGGUAUGCCCUUUUUAUAAGAAUGCCUCGAAAACACAGCACAAAAACCAUUAAGAUGCUUAACUUUUAUUAUUGAUGGAAUAGCAGGCGUAGUCUAAUUUAGCACUAUAAGAAUUUUGCUUCUAGGAGAAAUUUCCAUAUCUAAUGCAGGGUUUAUUGACUAAUCUUUAUUUAUCUUCUUUUGCCGGUUUUCAGCAGCAAUAGAUUCUACAGCUCAGACAGGACUAAUUUGUGAUUAGCAAGAAGAGGUCUAUCAAAAGGGGGUUUCCCAGUGUGCUUUUUUUUCUUUCUGUUCAUUAUAUAUUUUCUCAAUUGUCUCUAUCAAAUUCCGUGAUUCUGUCAUAUAUGAAGUCUAACGUCUUUGCUAAUUCCUGCUUCUACCUUCCCCUCUCUCGCAGUUGGGAUUUAUGGAUUGUGUGCCUAUAUUCAUAUGUAGUUGCACGGUUAUAUUUGUUGGGUCUUAAUCUUUUUAGCCAUCAUUCUUUGUUCUGUUUGAAAAGCGAGCCUUGUUGUGCACUGCGCACUGCACACUGCACACUGCACACUGCACACUGCGCACUCACAAUUGUUUUCUUUUUCUUUAGUCCUUUUAACGCUGCUGGUAAGAAAAGGCUCUUUGAACAGCAGUUUGGAACAGGGAACCUCUUUAACGGUUGAGUAUUCAGGCUUGCUUUGAGUCAGUAAGGGGUGGCAUUUGAUGUCACCCCAGCAGCAUCAUCCACUCAAAUCCACUUUUUGAGUGGACUACUACAAUGACUUUGCUGAGUACUCAUGGGGUACUUAGUACUUGUGAUCUCUCUGGCACUGUGACAGUGGGUGAGGAUGAUGAAGCCGGUGUUGGUUCUGUCUCAGCAGAGUGCCAACGUGGAUGGGACGCUGGGGACGGUGCCCCUUCCUCUUCUUGCCCGAAUGGGGCUAAUCACUCCAACAGCAAACGAAAUCUCUGGGCGAGAUCUGACUCGACUAAGGAAAGAUCUACUCUGAAAGAUCAGAGAGAGCAGAAAAAAAGAGCCAAAAGCCGCGAUUCUCCUCAUAAGAUCGUGGACGGGCUGACAGUUUUGCCACAUGGAGCGAUAUGCUUUACAACAUCGCUGAUUCAGUGAAUGUGUCUUAUAAAUCGCUGAUGCUCCAAAAGUGUUGGAUAUAUCAUUGAUUCAUUGGAAGAAGAGUCAAAAGUUCUAUUUUUGUUCCAAGGAGUCUAAAUGAAAUUAGGGGACUUGAAUCUCAAAGUGCAAAACCUUUGUGAAGUGGCGGCGACUGCAAUUAGGUGUGGUUUUCAGUGGGUUGCACCCGUGGUUUCUCCUUUACGUGCUCUAUCCUUUAAAACACCUGGAUGAGCAAGAAAUGAUUCAGGCAGAUAGUGUUAACUUUCUUUCCUCUUCUUGUUACACAUUUUCUGAUCUGCACUUAAAUAUGUGGCCUUUUUAUAUUGGAUUUGCAGAUUAAGGCAAUGAAGGAAAUGUACUUACCAGAACUCAAUGAAUUAUACCAAAAGGUUGCUGUCAAAUUUGAGUUGCAGCCACCAGAGCCAAUCCAAAUUGAUCGAGUCAAAUUUUUCAAGCAUUUGAUGCAGCGCACAAUCAAUUUUUUACUAUUGUCCAAAGACAAUGUCGUACCUGCUUACAAGGACAAGCUGCCCUCAUAUGAGAAGCAGAUCCUUAGUAUUCUUAAUUAAAAGAGGCCUACGAAACAUGUUUUUUUCACACUCCGUGCAGCAGCAGCAACAGCUACGGUCACAACAAUAGCAACCACAGCAGCCUGUGACGAACAAGGCAGAAGCACAUUUUCAAGUGAAAAGUGACCUUCAAAGCUGCUCUCUCCACAGGGAACAAACGGAAGCUCAUUGAUUUCUUGGCGGUGGAAUUACCGAUCAAGAUAUCGAUAGUUAAGUUCAAGAUGUAGAUCAUCAGAAGAUGGGGGGUGUUGCAAACGAGUAUGAUCUAUGAUGAGGUUCAGCACAUGAUUACUUCUGUGCUACAAUCUGAGGUCUGCGGAAGUGGGCCCACUUAGCCACCAAUGAAAAUGAAACCAGAUUACGGUUACAUCUAAAAAUGGUUGGACUCUUUGGUCCCUUUAUUCAUUUCAUUCAUCCAUUCAUGUCGGUGUCAGUAGUGAGUCGGCUCAAAGCUGAGAAGUCAGUCAGUGGGAUUCAGUCAUUGAUUGGCUGUGAAAUUUUUACAUCACUGAGAGCUGUGAGAGGAAAAUCCAGAGAACCAUAUAAGUGAACAAAGUCAUAAUUCACAAACAACAGCAGACAGGCACGGACAAAAGCUGCGAACAGUAUUCUCCUUUCCCUUUCUCCUUGGUGAUAUGAGAUUCGAAGAAUAGCAGAGGUCCCCAUAAGCCCCAUCAAUACAUUUAUAUGGAUUUCUUUCGUACCCUUAUCCCAAGUCCUAAAACCUGCAAACAAAAUUAGAACUGUGGGAGGACCCAACGUAGAGUUGCUAAGCUUGUGUGUUUGAAUCUACUUACAUUGUAUAUAUGUUAGUGUGAGAGAGGUAGUAGAGGUACUGUUUUU
Macadamia integrifolia is the source of this 6005-nucleotide RNA transcript. RefSeq lists it as uncharacterized. The record is from RefSeq and is a predicted model, not a curated record. The transcript is spliced from 10 exons. Lineage: Eukaryota; Viridiplantae; Streptophyta; Magnoliopsida; Proteales; Proteaceae.